GAUGAACGCUGGCGGCGUGCCUAAUACAUGCAAGUCGAGCGAACAGACGAGGAGCUUGCUCCUCUGAAGUUAGCGGCGGACGGGUGAGUAACACGUGGAUAACCUACCUAUAAGACUGGGAUAACUUCGGGAAACCGGAGCUAAUACCGGAUAAUAUAUUGAACCGCAUGGUUCAAUAGUGAAAGACGGUUUUGCUGUCACUUAUAGAUGGAUCCGCGCCGCAUUAGCUAGUUGGUAAGGUAACGGCUUACCAAGGCAACGAUGCGUAGCCGACCUGAGAGGGUGAUCGGCCACACUGGAACUGAGACACGGUCCAGACUCCUACGGGAGGCAGCAGUAGGGAAUCUUCCGCAAUGGGCGAAAGCCUGACGGAGCAACGCCGCGUGAGUGAUGAAGGUCUUCGGAUCGUAAAACUCUGUUAUUAGGGAAGAACAAAUGUGUAAGUAACUAUGCACGUCUUGACGGUACCUAAUCAGAAAGCCACGGCUAACUACGUG
Molecule: ribosomal RNA, 497 nt
Filed under: uncultured bacterium
Lineage: Bacteria
Description: partial 16S ribosomal RNA
Rfam family: Bacterial small subunit ribosomal RNA
Source: RNAcentral